This is a transfer RNA of Gemmatimonas aurantiaca T-27, 71 nucleotides long. It matches the Rfam family "tRNA". Rfam says of the family: Transfer RNA (tRNA) molecules are approximately 80 nucleotides in length. NCBI's taxonomy places the organism in Bacteria, Pseudomonadati, Gemmatimonadota, Gemmatimonadia, Gemmatimonadales, Gemmatimonadaceae. The record is from Rfam.
GGCGCCGUGGCCAAGUGGUAAGGCAGGAGACUGCAAAUCUCCCACCGUCGGUUCGAUUCCGACCGGCGCCU